Molecule: ribosomal RNA, 40 nt
Filed under: Platismatia interrupta
Lineage: Eukaryota; Fungi; Ascomycota; Lecanoromycetes; Lecanorales; Parmeliaceae
Description: partial 28S ribosomal RNA
Source: RNAcentral
CAUUGACCUCGGAUCAGGUAGGGAUACCCGCUGAACUUAA